RNAcentral lists this ribosomal RNA (586 nucleotides) under uncultured bacterium. RNAcentral describes it as "bacterial SSU rRNA". The stretch from base 1 to 522 matches the Rfam family "Bacterial small subunit ribosomal RNA", at positions 338 to 873 of the family's 1533-position model. The record is from RNAcentral.
CCUACGGGAGGCAGCAGUGGGGAAUCUUGCGCAAUGGGCGAAAGCCUGACGCAGCAACGCCGCGUGCGGGAAGAAGGCUUUCGGGCUGUAAACCGCUUUCAGCAGGAACGAAAAUGACGGUACCUGCAGAAGAAGGAGCGGCCAACUAUGUGCCAGCAGCCGCGGUGAUACAUAGGCUUCAAGCGUUGUCCGGAUUUAUCGGGCGUAAAGAGUUCGUAGGCGGUCGAGUAAGUCGGGUGUGAAAAUUCUGGGCUCAACCCAGAGACGCCACCCGAUACUGCUUAACUUGAGUUCGAUAGGGGAGUGGGGAAUUCCUAGUGUAGCAGUGAAAUGCGCAGAUAUUAGGAGGAACACCGGUGGCGAAGGCGCCACUCUGGAUCGAUACUGACGCUGAGGAACGAAAGCAUGGGUAGCAAACAGGAUUAGAUACCCUGGUAGUCCAUGCCGUAAACGGUGGGCACUAGGUGUGGGAUUCCUAUUAACGGAAUUCCGCGCCGUCGCUAACGCAUUAAGUGCCCCGCCUGGGGAGUACGCGCAGACAACUAAGAAGUAGACGCGNGAGAGNGCGAGACGACGACGAGGAGAG